This 1022-nucleotide long non-coding RNA is filed under the name Portunus trituberculatus (swimming crab). RNAcentral's name for it is "uncharacterized LOC123504673". Lineage: Eukaryota; Metazoa; Arthropoda; Malacostraca; Decapoda; Portunidae. The record is from RNAcentral.
UAAUGUAGUGGGGAAGAAAACGGGAAGGAAUGAAUUAUAGAUGAGUUUGUGGAAAAGAAUCAGUCACGCAUUCGGAGACAGCUGCACCAGAGGACGCUAAGAGAACUGAGCAGGCAGGGUAGAGCACGCACUUCGACGCAGAUCCUUUCCGGCGGCGGUCCGAGUAGAUCAUACGUUGUGUUGCGAGUGUUAGCGUGUGUUUGCGUGUGCUUUCGAAUGAGCAAGUCUUCGCUAUUCUCCUCAUCGUGGCCUACUCAUCUAUUUGGUAAGUACCAUGUACAGCUCAUCGCGGGACAGCGUGGGACAGCGCUGGAGCACCUCGUCGAUCAAGAUAAGGAGAGUUCUGUUCCUAGGACGUUAGGGUGAUAGGAUGUUAGGCUGCUAGGCUACUAACCCCCUUUGCCUUUCAGAUACAUCACAAUAAUGCCUCCUGUAGAUUAUUCCACAGCUUGACCAAGAGUAGGAGGCGACACCAGCGGCGGAGUGAAGAAACUGGACUAAAAUAGAGGCGUGCAGAAGUGAAGAGGUCGCAAAGGAGGCCAGUUUGUAGUUGCGUUAUGAAGGAGUUGUCUUGGGGAGAUUGCAAGAAAGAAGUGACGCUCUGUGCCUGAGUAGUGAUGGGCCAAUCGAUACUUUCAAAUAGCAGCAAAAAUAAAGAUACUGAUGUUCAGGAGAUGGAAACUGCCACACCACAAUGCAUUCUGCGGAAGGAAACCAUGGAUAAAGGUGAGACGCGAUUCUUACAGGUGCUUUAAUUAUCAUCUUCCCCAACAGGUGUUAAUUAACUUUCCUUUCCCUACAGGUGCUAAUUAAUUUUUUCCCCUACAGCUGCUAACUUUCUUCCCCUACAGGUGCUAAUUGAUUUCCUUCCCCUACAGCUGCUAACUUUCUUUCCAUACAGGUGCUAAUUAAUUUCCUUCCCCUACAGCUGCUAACUUUCUUUCCCUACAGGUGCUAAUUAAUUUCCUUCCCCUACAGCUGCUAACUUUCUUCCCCUACAGGUGCUAAUUGAUUUCCUUCCC